Molecule: small nuclear RNA, 146 nt
Organism: Medicago truncatula (barrel medic)
Lineage: Eukaryota; Viridiplantae; Streptophyta; Magnoliopsida; Fabales; Fabaceae
Rfam family: U1 spliceosomal RNA
About the family: U1 is a small nuclear RNA (snRNA) component of the spliceosome (involved in pre-mRNA splicing). Its 5' end forms complementary base pairs with the 5' splice junction, thus defining the 5' donor site of an intron.
Source: Rfam
UCACUCACCUGGAUGGGGUCAAUAGGUGAUCAAGAAGGCUCAUAGCCUAAGACAAUGACCUCCAUUGCACUUUGGAGGGGUGCUGGCCUAAGGUCUACUCAAGUGGUGGAGCCUACAUCAUAAUUUGUUGCACGCAAGUCCCUUCC